This 1318-nucleotide long non-coding RNA is filed under the name Equus caballus (horse). RNAcentral describes it as "lncRNA (ENSECAG00000043140.2)". The record is from RNAcentral. Lineage: Eukaryota; Metazoa; Chordata; Mammalia; Perissodactyla; Equidae.
GUCUAUUAAGUGUGCAAUAGCAUUAUGUCUAAAAAAUAACGUGCAUACCUUAAUUAAAAAAUACUUAUUGCUGGAAAAUGCUAGCAACCAUCUGAGCCUUCAGCGAGUUGUCAUCUUUUCGCUGAUGGAGUGUCUUGUAAAAUCACAACAUCUGUGAAGUGCAAUAACGCAAAACCAAAUAAAAUGAGGUGUGCCUGUACUGAGGUUCACGGAGUCUCACGACUUACCCAAGUGAUACAGUUAGGAAGUGGCAGAAAGGGAUUGGAAACCAGUUCCAUCUUACCGCAUAACCUCAGUCCUUGCACUGUACUCAUUGCUUCCUGCCGUGGCUGUCUUCUCCGUCCUCACCUCCAGCACUCAGUGGGGUGCACAUCGGUAUUUGCUCAGCUGAUUAUUGCCACGACUAUCGUUUUGUUCAGCAGGUGCCAGGUUUAGGGCAUUGUCUGCCUUCUAAAAGUGGUACAAACAAGAAAAUAGGAGGCACCAAGAUAAGACAGUCUGCUUCCUGGAAGUAGCAAUCUCCACGAGACAGAUGAAAUAGAAUUGAGAUGAGCUCUUGAAUAAUGGAUCCAAAUGAAUUCCCUGCAAUGAAUAUCUGAGGACAGAGUGAACUACUUACUAAGGGGAAAAAAAGAGAAAAUCCACCUCUUGGAAUUUCACAGUCUCAGAUUCCUGCCCGUAGGUGUAUAAUAGCUUUUUUUCCUGAAGAGUCUUGAAGGGAAGGCCCCACAAACCAAAACUGUGCAAUCUGCAUUGUGGCCCUGAUUCACCAUCAGCUUGCUGUGUGAUGUUGGGGAAAGUCACCCUGGAGUCCAUUUUCCUCAUGAAGCUAGGGACAAAGCAUCUCUUGGGUCCUUCCUUGAAAGACCCAAGUCUACUUCGAGACACCUGGAACAGAAUGAGAGGGUGAAGAACAGGGCACUUAUGAAGUCAAUCAAGCGAUGGCAAAGACCAAGAGUUUGGAUUUGAUUAAAAAGAGGUGGCAAGAGAACAGAGUGCAAAAGAAGGCAAGAAGGAAUAAGAACUUUUAUAUUUAUGCUUGCUUGUGCAAAUUAUACAAACCAUCAUGGAAGUGAGUUACCUUAAUAUUAAGCAGUUGCUAGCACUAAAUGCUUUUCUCUGCGGCUGUCCACAUUUUGAUGUCCCAGAACGUCAUAAUUCAAUAUUAACUGAAUAAUGCAUGUGUGAAAUUUCACAAAAAUAAGCAAAUAACCUUGUAUCUUUUUUCUUUUUUUAAGCUAUUUUUGGGUGGUGGAUGGAGAUGACAUUGGCCAAUGACUUCCCAUUUUUUUGACUUUGAAAUGAAAACUAGGGAAAG